UCCGGUUUGUCACCGGCAGUCUCAUUAGAGUGCCCAACUGAAUGUAGCAACUAAUGACAAGGGUUGCGCUCGUUGCGGGACUUAACCCAACAUCUCACGACACGAGCUGACGACAGCCAUGCAGCACCUGUGUGUCGGCUCCCUUUCGGGCACGCCUCCGUCUCGAGAGGCUUCCGACCAUGUCAAGGGUAGGUAAGGUUUUUCGCGUUGCAUCGAAUUAAUCCACAUCAUCCACCGCUUGUGCGGGUCCCCGUCAAUUCCUUUGAGUUUUAAUCUUGCGACCGUACUCCCCAGGCGGUCGACUUCACGCGUUAGCUGCGGUACUAAGGAAGUCUCCUUCCCCAACACCUAGUCGACAUCGUUUAGGGCGUGGACUAC
RNAcentral lists this unclassified non-coding RNA (378 nucleotides) under uncultured Gammaproteobacteria bacterium. RNAcentral describes it as "contains 16S-23S intergenic spacer region". The record is from RNAcentral. Lineage: Bacteria; Pseudomonadati; Pseudomonadota; Gammaproteobacteria.